CUUGACCGAGCCCAGCCACAGCGGUUCGGCGCGGCCCUGGCCGUAGGUGGCCAGCAGCGCCUGGGCCUC
Molecule: antisense RNA, 69 nt
Filed under: Streptomyces antibioticus
Lineage: Bacteria; Bacillati; Actinomycetota; Actinomycetes; Kitasatosporales; Streptomycetaceae
Also listed under: 1 other name
Description: ASpks sRNA
Rfam family: ASpks TB sRNA
Source: RNAcentral